AUGGCAGAAAAUGGUGAUAAUGAAAAAAUGGCUGCUCUGGAGGCCAAAAUCUGUCAUCAAAUCGAGUAUUAUUUUGGUGACUUCAAUUUGCCACGCGACAAAUUUUUAAAGGAAUAGAUCAAACUGGAUGAAGUCUGGGUACCUUUGGAGAUAAUGAUAAAAUUUAAUAGGUUAAACCGUCUAACAACAGACUUUAAUGUAAUAGUAGAAGCAUUGAGCAAAUCAAAGGUGGAACUUAUGGAAAAAAGUGAAGAUAAAACUAAAAUCAGAAGAUCUCCAAGCAAACCCCUCCCUGAAGUGACUGAUGAGUAUAAAAAUGAGGUAAAAAAACAGAUCUGUUUAUAUUAAAGGCUUCCCAAUUGAUGCAACCCUUGAUGACAUAAAAUAAUGGUUGGAAGAUAAAGGUCAGGUACUAAAUAUUCAGAUGAGAAGAACACUGCACAAAGCAUUUAAGAGAUCAGUAUUUGCUGCAUUUGAUACCAUUGAAUCUGCUAAGAAGUUUGUCGAGACCCCUGGCCAGAAGUACAAAGACACAGACCUGCUAAUACUUUUCAAGGAAGAUUACUUUGCAAAAAAAAAUGAAGAAAGAAAGCAAAAUAAAAUCGAAGCUAAAUUAUGAGCUAAACAAGAGCAAGAAGAAAAACAAAAGCAGAAAAUGCUGAAAUGAAAUCUCUAGAAGAAAAGAUUGGCUGCUUGCUGAAAUUCUCGGGGGACUUAGAUGAUCAGACGUGUAGAGAAGAUUUGCAUAUCCUUUUCUCAAAUCAUGGUGAAAUAAAAUGGAUAGACUUUGUCAGAGGAGCCAAAGGGAAUAAUUCUGUUUAAAGAAAAAGCUAAGGAAGCACUGGAUAAAGCAAAAGACGCAAAUAAUGGUAACCUAACAAUUAAGGAACAAAGAGGUCACCUGGGAAGUACUCGAAGGUGAUGUGGAAAAAGAAGCGUUGAAAAAAAUAAUAGAAGAUCAACAAGAAUCCCUAAACAAAUGGAAAUCAAAAGGUCGCAGAUUUAAAGGAAAAGGAAAGGGAAAUAAAGCUGCCCAGAUUGCGUCUGCUAAAGGAAAAGUACAGUUUCAGGGCAAGAAAACUAAAUUUGACAGUGAUGAAGAACAUGAUGAAAAUGGUGCAUCUAGACCAGUAAAAAGAGCAAGAGAAGAAACAGACAAAGAAGAACCUGCAUCAAAACAGCAGAAAACAGUUAGAGGUCCGGCUUCGCUGACUGUCAGCCUCAAGGUGGUCCUCGAGGCGGAGAGCGCGGGCGAUUCGCCCCGCGGGAGGAUCCCGGGCUGGGAGGGGCCGGCCAGGCAGCCAGGAGCUGAGCGCGAGUCAAUGCCGGUUGCGCGGCCGAGCGGAGCCGGGCAGCAGAAGCCGCCCGAGCGGCAGCGGCGGUGGCGGCGGCGGCGGGACCGGCAGCAGCAGCAGCAGCUACAAGCUCCCUGUGCCGCGGCGCUGCGGCACAAACCCCACGAGCUGCCCACCCCUCCGCCCUCCGUGCUGCCUGACCCCGCCGGCGUGUCCGUCAGCCGCCAGCCCCCGGCAGCGCCCCCAGUCGUCCUCCGACUCGCCCUCGGCCUUCCGCGUCAGCCGCAGCCGCAACGCCACCCGCAGCCUCAGCCCCAGCCGUAG
RNA transcript from Lipotes vexillifer (Yangtze River dolphin), 1619 nucleotides. It is a transcript of the gene named lupus La protein homolog pseudogene, with no coding region annotated. NCBI's taxonomy places the organism in Eukaryota, Metazoa, Chordata, Mammalia, Artiodactyla, Lipotidae. The record is from RefSeq and is a predicted model, not a curated record. The transcript has 3 exons.